This 225-nucleotide long non-coding RNA is filed under the name Lathyrus oleraceus (garden pea). Its description in RNAcentral is "Pisum sativum (pea) long non-coding RNA (PSAT_LNC022001)". The record is from RNAcentral. Lineage: Eukaryota; Viridiplantae; Streptophyta; Magnoliopsida; Fabales; Fabaceae.
AACGAGAAAAAAAAUGAGACUCCAUUCAAAAUGAUGGAUCCUUAAAGGAAGUUAGGAUGCGUAUGUCAUAUAAAAUUAAAAAAAAAACAGAAAAAGGUUUAAAAAAAAGUUUGAUAUCAAAGGGUGGCAUUUUAAGAUUUUAAUUUCAAACUUGUGACAGUGUGAUCAAAAAGUCCACAAAAUACACUGAAGUUAAAUACCUUUUCCAUCGUAAAGUUACUGAAU